GUGCCAGCAGCCGCGGUAAUACGGAGGGUGCGAGCGUUAAUCGGAAUUACUGGGCGUAAAGCGCAUGCAGGCGGCCUGUUAAGUCAGAUGUGAAAGCCCGGGGCUUAACCUCGGAAUUGCAUUUGAAACUGGCAGGCUAGAGUCUUGUAGAGGGGGGUAGAAUUUCAGGUGUAGCGGUGAAAUGCGUAGAGAUCUGAAGGAAUACCAGUGGCGAAGGCGGCCCCCUGGACAGAUACUGACACUCAGAUGCGAAAGCGUGGGGAGCAAACAGGAUUAGAUACCCGAGUAGUCC
Molecule: ribosomal RNA, 292 nt
Filed under: uncultured prokaryote
Description: partial 16S ribosomal RNA
Rfam family: Bacterial small subunit ribosomal RNA
Source: RNAcentral